GCCCACGUGGUGCAAUGGUUAGCACAACCUUACUUGUUAGCUCCGUGGUAAAUGCAUUUGGAGGUAGAUUGGGGUUCAAUUCCCCACGAGGGCG
Molecule: transfer RNA, 94 nt
Filed under: Rhodocollybia butyracea
Lineage: Eukaryota; Fungi; Basidiomycota; Agaricomycetes; Agaricales; Omphalotaceae
Description: tRNA-OTHER
Rfam family: tRNA
About the family: Transfer RNA (tRNA) molecules are approximately 80 nucleotides in length. Their secondary structure includes four short double-helical elements and three loops (D, anti-codon, and T loops).
Source: RNAcentral